CUGUGCACCAUGCCCGACUGGCGUCAAACAUCACAAGUCUACUCCAUGACUAUCCAACGUUUAUGGUAGACUUAACGAGCACUGAGAACGGACAUGCACAGUGAAGGGCAAAUGAAUGCAGAUGCAACAUCACUGGCAUACGUUAGAAGACGGCUGUGACUGGAAUCAAAACCAAAUCGUGGGGGUGGAAAAAUUAAAUAGUCAC
Molecule: non-coding RNA, 205 nt
Organism: Pelobates cultripes (western spadefoot toad)
Lineage: Eukaryota; Metazoa; Chordata; Amphibia; Anura; Pelobatidae
Source: the annotation of a GenBank genome assembly